Molecule: ribosomal RNA, 496 nt
Filed under: uncultured Glomeromycotina
Lineage: Eukaryota; Fungi; Glomeromycota
Description: partial small subunit ribosomal RNA
Rfam family: Eukaryotic small subunit ribosomal RNA
Source: RNAcentral
CCAAUAGCGUAUAUUAAAGUUGUUGCAGUUAAAAAGCUCGUAGUUGAAUUUCGGGGUUCUACCGUUGGUCGGGCUAUAGUCUGUACUGGCGUGUGGAAUUUCUACCUUCCGGGGAACUAUCAUGUUAUUAAUUUAGCGUGGUAGGAAACCAGAACCUUUACCUUGAAAAAAUUAGAGUGUUCAAAGCAGGCUUACGUCUGAAUACAUUAGCAUGGAAUAAUAAAAUAGGACGGUGGUCCUGUUUUGUUGGUUUCUGAAUCACCGUAAUGAUUAAUAGGGAUAGUUGGGGGCAUUAGUAUUCAAUUGUCAGAGGUGAAAUUCUUGGAUUUAUUGAAGACUAACUUCUGCGAAAGCAUUUGCCAAGGAUGUUUUCAUUAAUCAAGAACGAAAGUUAGGUGAUCGAAGACGAUCAGAGACCGUCGUAGUCUUAACCAUAAACUAUGCCGACUAGGAAUCGGACGAUGUUAAUUUUUCUUGACUCGUUCGGCGCCUUACG